Molecule: non-coding RNA, 3753 nt
Organism: Schizosaccharomyces pombe (fission yeast)
Lineage: Eukaryota; Fungi; Ascomycota; Schizosaccharomycetes; Schizosaccharomycetales; Schizosaccharomycetaceae
Source: the annotation of a GenBank genome assembly
AAAUCAACAUGAAUGAGUGAUGGUUUAUCAUCGCCUGUAAUGCUAUUUGAAAGUAAAUGAGUGUGUUUUCUCACUCUUUCACUCAAAUAAGGACGUGAAUUAGGUAAGAAUGUCCCAGACGUUAGUAAAAGUUGCAAUUCUAAUCGUUUAUUUACAUUUGAUGGAACUUUUGCAAUUGAAUGCUUCGAUAUUGAUAAUGACGGUUUCGGGCAAGGUAGCUCUGCGCGAUAAAAAGGAUCAUAAAUCUCAAAUUCUUCCUCAAAAAAUUCUUCGUUAUUUGUGUCAAAGUCAACCUUGGGCAAUUUAGAAGAGACGGAAUGCAAAUAUUGCGUAUCCGUUCUUCUUUUCACCCGUGGUGAACUAUUAGUCAUGCCAUAAAUAGGAAAUUGUUUGAGAAAUUAUUGGGCUUUUUACUUUUAAUCCUUCAGUGUGCAAGUUCACUAGUUUAACAGAAGUUAUGGGUUGCUGAGUGAGUUUAAGGCACUGAUUGAUAUAAAGAAUUUACUAAGUCCAAAAAGUAUAAAGACAUUCCAAAAUCGAAAAUAUUAUAUUAAAAUUGAAGAUAUAAUGAUUAUCUAUUGAGUUACUAUUAUUACAAAUUUAUCAGUCAAAGGUAAGUUAAUGACUUUACAUUGAAGCGAUAAAAUCUUAACUAUGUUUAAUUUGUUUUAAAAAACUUUAACCGUUCUAUUGACAACUCAAUAAUAAAUUAUAUCCAUUAAUAGGAAUCCCCAAAAAAAUAAAUAAACUUCCAAAACGCAUAUACUGACUUAGGGAAUUACGGUCCAAAAAACUAGGAUAACAAAAAAAAUGCAAAGGGAGAUAUGGCAGGUAUAUAAAAAGGAAACGGCCAAAAUUUGGGCUAAUUUUAAAAAAACAAAAUUCUAAUUUGAGAACAAGAAUUGCAUAUCCUCGACAGAAAGCUGGUUCAAAGCCUUUUCGUCUUGAUCUAUGGUUGCAUGUAUCAUCUGAGCUUUCUUUUCUUGUAGUUCAAUAAUUUUGCUUUCAAUGGAAUUUUCAAUACACAGGGUAAUUACUUUUAUCGGCCUUUUUUGUCCAAUACGAUGAAUUCGAUCCAUUGCCUGCCACUGUACAGCUCCAUUCCACCAAGGAUCCAUCAUAAACACUUGAGAUGCCUCUGUAAGGUUCAAAGCAACACCACCUGCUUUCAACGAAACUAGAAAAAUGGUAAUAUUAAUAUCGUUACUGAAAGCCUCAAUAGUAGCUGCUCUCGCUUUGGGGGUCAUACCACCAUCUAGCUUUACACAAUUAAACCCGGCUUUUCGAAGUCGCCAAUGAAUGAGAUCUAACAUAGAAGUAAAUUGAGAGAAAACAAUCGACUUCAGUGUUCGGUCCUUCUUACGAAGUAAGUAAAGCUCCUCAACUAAUGCUUCAAUUUUUGUAGAUGAACGCCAACUAUUCAUAUCAAUUCUAUUCAAAAUCGAUGCAUUCUUAAACUUCUCUUCAGAAAAAUCUUCUAAAGCAGGGGCACUAAGAUCUAUGCUUAAGGGAAUGAAACAACUUGGACAGUUGACAUUUUCUCCAUCACCAGCUGCAUUGAUAUAUUCCGUAACGCAGAGUCGACAAAAUGUGUGAUGGCAACGUGAUUCUAUAGCAUCUUGAGCGACUUCGUCACAAAUCUUACAGACGAUAUUUUCCUGAUUUUCAAUAUCAACUGUUUUUCGUUUGCUAGCUAACACCAGGUCAGGAUGAUCUGCCAUUUGGCGCAUUCGUGUAAUUAGCUGGAAAAUGUUUGCAUAAUUAUUCAAAACGACACCUUCAGCAAGAUAUGUAUUAAAUUUUCUUUUUGAAUCCAUAUAUAAAGAUUGGUAUACAUCUUCCUCUUCUUCGUUGAAUAAAUCUUUCCUCACUUCAACGACUCGAGGAGGUAAUCCAAGGUCAUCAGCCCUCUCUAAUUUUGUUCGACGUAACAUAAUGUGUUUUAAUAAAGAAUGCACCUUUUUAAAAGCUAGCUUUCCUGGACCUUCGUAUCCAAACUUUUGUAUUGGUUUUAGCAUUUCAGCGUUAAAAUAGCAAGUAUGACUCAUUGGUUUAUGGCCGCAUUCGUCGCAAUUACUUCUAUCGGAAAAUCUCCAGUGCAGAGAUUUACAUUCACAUUGCAAGCAAUAGUAGUAAGCAAAAGGAUCUGCCCGUAGGAACCGAAGAAGUGAAAAUAAUUCUCCAAUACGGUUUUGCAAAGGUGUUCCUGAAAGACAUAUCUUUCUUGUCGUUCUUAAGCCACAAACAGCUCUGGCAGUGUUACAAGUCCUUGAUUUGAUACCAUGGGCCUCAUCAAGUAUAAUUCGGUAAAACUCCAUUUGAUGAAGUAAUGACUUUUCUUUUACAACACCGUUUUUCCUUCUGAAUCCGCUGCGUUCCUUCCUGUAAACUGAUUCAAUUACAUUGUAACUCGUUAGUACAACAUCAUAGCUCGAAAGCUCUUCUCCUGAAAUAUCACGAGCCUGGCCAUAAUAAAGAUAUGUACUCAGUGCUUUAUUGGUAUGUGUAUCAAUCUCUUCUUUCCAUUGCAUAAUUGCUACAACCGGAGCAACAACCAAGGUUGGCUUACCUCGAGGUUCUGAAAGCAACAACGCAAUUGUUUGAAUAGUCUUACCCAUACCCAUUUCAUCGGCCAAGAUUCCUCCACCAAAAGAGGAAUCUUCUUGUCGUUUUAACCAAUAUACACCUUCUCGUUGAAAAGGGAGAAGGUUUAGGACCAACUCUUUGGGUUGCUCGAUCUGUUUCACUUCACGAGGUGCUUCUUCUUCCAAUUUCUCCCAAACAUGUUCUAGUUCAGGAUGUUGUCGAAUCAGACGAUAAUGGGUUCUUUCAUGUGAUGGAAUUGAUUUUGCUUGUGUUCUAGAGGAAGAGGACGCGGAAGAAGAAGCCCUAGCGGAUACCCUCCUUCGUUUGGACUGGUAACUUAAAGGGAUUGACUCUUCAUCACUUUCCGUAGAAGAACUUGGAGCAGCUUCUGGAAUUUCUACUUUACUAUCAAAAGUUUCAUCCUCUUUGAUAUCAAUUAUGCUAGCAACUUCAUCACUUUCAUCAUCAUCAAUAAAUUCGGAUUCAUUAGAUUCUUCUGGAGAUGACAAUGGCACAAACUUUUUUUUCAAAUUCGAGGACCUUAAUGAACGUUUUCUGGCACUAGAAAAACCUGUAUUGGGAUUUGCUUCUACAUUGUCUGUGCUGCUACCGGUGUGUGUACUGGUAUCAGAAAUGGAUAAUGGGGGUGUCGAAUGUUGAGAUGAGGUGUUGUUUGACUGGAUAAUCAAUUUUUUGUUUGUUGACAGAGGUUCUUCAAACUCUUUUCCGUUCCAGCGCGUUGUCUCCAUAUCUAACUUGUCGUCACGCUCGACUUGUUGAUUUGAAGCAUUCCCCUUUGAAUCACCAUUAUCAUCUAGAACAAAAUGCAUAUUUUCUUUUCCCUUAUUACUAUUCGAGUUUAUUUUAUUACAUGACGUCCCCAUUUGUGAAUGUAAAUUGUUUUCAACCACUUCCUCAUCUUCACUUUCUACAAUAAUGCCCGCAAUGGGAGAAGAUGACCAUUCAUCUUGAUUGCCUGGUACAUCAUGAAUGUUAUUUAUCUCUGAAUAAGUAGUAGAAAAUGGAGCCUGCCCAUUACUUUGCUCAUCAUUAUUGUCUGCUUGAAGAGACGCCUGAGUAGUAUGGUUAUUGCGAGUAUUUUUCCAAUUUAUGGAAUCAAUUGUAUCGUUUGAAUUAAUAUCUACAGCUUCAUUUUGUAAUUGGUCC